GGAAUAUUGGUCAAUGGCCGAGAGGCUGAACCAGCCAAGUAGCGUGCAGGACGACGGCCCUAUGGGUUGUAAACUGCUUUAGCGGGGGAAUAAAGUCGGCUACGCGUAGCCGUUUGUAUGUACCCCGAGAAUAAGGACCGGCUAAUUCCGUGCCAGCAGCCGCGGUAAUACGGAAGGUCCGGGCGUUAUCCGGAUUUAUUGGGUUUAAAGGGAGCGCAGGCUGACUGUUAAGCGUGACGUGAAAUGCCGCGGCUCAACCGUGGAAGUGCGUCGCGAACUGGCGGUCUUGAGUGGGCACGAGGCAUGCGGAAUUCGUGGUGUAGCGGUGAAAUGCUUAGAUAUCACGAAGAACUCCGAUUGCGAAGGCAGCAUGCCAGGUUCUUACUGACGCUAAUGCUCGAAGGUGCGGGUAUCGAACA
Molecule: ribosomal RNA, 419 nt
Filed under: uncultured bacterium
Lineage: Bacteria
Description: bacterial SSU rRNA
Rfam family: Bacterial small subunit ribosomal RNA
Source: RNAcentral